Lynx canadensis (Canada lynx) is the source of this 372-nucleotide long non-coding RNA. RefSeq lists it as uncharacterized. The record is from RefSeq and is a predicted model, not a curated record. The transcript has 3 exons. NCBI's taxonomy places the organism in Eukaryota, Metazoa, Chordata, Mammalia, Carnivora, Felidae.
CAAACAAGUUAAAGGAGUUCACCACCACUAAACCAGCCUUACAAGAAACAUUGAAGGGAGUGGGAAGAAAAGGCCAUAUCAGGAACAAGAAAAUUAUGGAAGGAAAACAUUUCACAGGACCUCUAGUAUGUAACAAAAUUGGGAAGUCACUCCAUGAGUAGUCCCAUGAUGGGAAACUAAUGCUUCCUGCCAAAAGCAGAGUGUGCUUGGAAGGAGAUCCUCUGUGCCUCAUCAAGUCAUCAAAGACUAUAACCCUGGCUGACAGUGUGACUGCACACCAUGAGACACCCUGAUGCUGCAACACCCAGCUUGGCUGCUCCCAGAUGCCUGACCCUCAGAGACAGUGAGAUAAUAAAUGCUCAUCAUUAUAGA